GGAUGAACGCUGGCGGCACGCCUAACACAUGCAAGUCGAACGGACCGCGAAACAUUGAAGCUUCGGCUGAUUUGUUUCAUCUGGUUAGUGGCAAACGGGUGAGUAAUGCAUAGGUAAUCUACCCCUAAGUCUGGAAUAACAUUUCGAAAGGAAUGCUAAUACCGGAUAUACUCUUUGGUCAUAAGACUGUAAGAGGAAAGGUUUACUGCUUAGGGAGGGGCCUAUGUCCGAUUAGCUAGUUGGUAAGGUAAUGGCCUACCAAGACUACGAUCAGUAGCUGGUCUGAGAGGAUGUACAGCCACACUGGGACUGAGAUACGGCCCAGACUCCUACGGGAGGCAGCAGUGGGGAAUAUUGCGCAAUGGGCGAAAGCCUGACGCAGCGACGCCGCGUGAGCGAAGAAGUCUUUCGGGAUGUAAAGCUCUGUCAAGAGGGAAGAUUAUGACGGUACCUCUAGAGGAAGCACCGGCUAAUUACGUGCCAGCAGCCGCGGUAAUACGUAAGGUGCGAGCAUUAUCCGGAUUUAUUGGGCAUAAAGCGCGCGUAGGUGGUAUUUUAAGUCAGGUGUUAAAGGCUACAGCUCAACUGUAGUUCGCAUUUGAAACUGAAUCACUAGAGAUUAGGAGAGGGAAGUGGAACUCACAGUGUAGCGGUGAAAUGCGUAGAUAUUGUGAGGAACACCAGUGGCGAAGGCGGCUAUCUGGACUAGUUCUGACGCUGAGGUACGAAAGCAUGGGGGAGCGAACGGGAUUAGAUACCCCGGUAGUCCAUGCCGUAAACUGUGUUCACUAAGUGUAGGAGGUAUCGACCCCUUCUGUGCUACAGAUAAUUCGUUAAGUGAACCGCCUGGGGAGUACGCACGCAAGUGUGAAACUCAAAGGAAUUGACGGGGGCCCGCACAAGCGGAGGAGUAUGUGGUUUAAUUCGAUGCAACGCGAAGAACCUUACCAGGGCUUGACAUCCUGCGAACCUCUGGGAAACCGGAGGGUGCCUUCGGGAACUGCAAGACAGGUGGUGCAUGGCUGUCGUCAGCUCGUGUCGUGAGAUGUUGGGUUAAGUCCCGCGCAACGAGCGCAACCCACGUCUUUAGUUGCCAGCAUUUAGUUGGGCACGCUAGAGAGACCGCCGGUGACAAACCGGAGGAAGGUGUGGAUGACGUCAAGUCAUCAUGCCCCUUACGUCCUGGGCUACACACAUGCUACAAUGACCGGUACAAUGGGUCGCGAAACCGCGAGGUGGAGCUAAUCUCAAAAAACCGGUCUCAGUUCGGAUUGUAGUCUGCAACUCGACUACAUGAAGUUGGAAUUGCUAGUAAACGUAGAUCAGCUAUGCUGCGUUGAAUAUGUUCCCGGGCCUUGUACUCACCGCCC
Molecule: ribosomal RNA, 1370 nt
Filed under: uncultured prokaryote
Description: partial 16S ribosomal RNA
Rfam family: Bacterial small subunit ribosomal RNA
Source: RNAcentral